This 474-nucleotide ribosomal RNA is filed under the name uncultured bacterium. RNAcentral describes it as "partial 16S ribosomal RNA". It matches the Rfam family "Bacterial small subunit ribosomal RNA", at positions 28 to 507 of the family's 1533-position model. The record is from RNAcentral.
GAUGAACGCUAGCGGCAGGCCUAACACAUGCAAGUCGAGGGAGAAGCCUUCGGGCUUCGACCGGCGUACGGGUGCGUAACGCGUAUACAAUCUGCCUUUCACAUAGGGAUAGCCCGAAGAAAUUUGGAUUAAUACCUAAUGGUAUAUAGAUGUGGCAUCACCUUUAUAUUAAAGCUGAGGCGGUGAAAGAUGAGUAUGCGUUCUAUUAGCUAGUUGGAGAGGUAACGGCUCCCCAAGGCGACGAUAGAUAGGGGUUCUGAGAGGGAUAUCCCCCACACUGGUACUGAGAUACGGACCAGACUCCUACGGGAGGCAGCAGUGAGGAAUAUUGGACAAUGGUCGGAAGACUGAUCCAGCCAUGCCGCGUGCAGGAAGACGGCCUUAUGGGUUGUAAACUGCUUUUGCAGGGGAAGAAUAAGGACUACGCGUAGUUUGAUGACGGUACUCUGCGAAUAAGCAUCGGCUAACUCCGUG